UUUUUUUUUUUUUUUUUACUUGGAGAUGGGGUCUCACUCUGUUGCCAGACUGGAGUGCAGUGGCGUGAUCUCAGCUCACUGCAGUCUCUGCCUCCUGGGUUCAAGCCAUUCUCCUAUCUCAGCCUCUGGAGUAGCCAGGACUACAGGCGUGUGCCACCACGUCCAGCUAAUUUUGUAUUUUUAGUAGAGAUGAAGUUUUACCAUGUUGGCCAGGCUGGUCACGAACUCCUGACCUCAGGCCUCCCAAAGUGCUGGGAUUAUAGGCAUGAGCCACCGCGCCCAGCCUGCUUACACAUUUACCUCUCCUAUGAGAUGAUUGGUUCCCAGCCUCUGGAUGUCACGCAUGCAUUGCAUUUUCCUCCCUAAGCAAAUCGCCACCUCAUGAUAAGACUUUCCCCCUUUGGUCCCCAGACUGACUCCUAAAUUAGUUUAAACCCACAAGCUUUAAGUUAUAAGCAGCGUGAUGCAGACUUGUGGGUGUGUCAUAGUUUGAGUUUAGGUGCUAAUGGUAUGUUGAGAGCAUGCAUGUGACUAUUUCAGGGAUAUAAUUUGAAGGGAUUGGUUUGUGGAUUAUUUGUGCCUGGGCCAUGGAAACUCUGAGUACCUGGCUAAUUUUGAUAAAAGCUGGUGACCCUAUUCAGUUACCCUAUAAAAGAGCCAGAAGCUCCUCCCUGGGGCAGCCUAUUCACGUUUCACCAGUUUUUCCUGCCAGGUCCCUCUGUAGAAUUGCUGUCCUUCUCCAACGAGAUAGGAUGAACCCAGAUCUCUUGGGCCUGUAGACUCCCGGAACAUCAGCCAUCUCCUCUGUGAUGUCAGGGGGAGCAGCCCUUGUCUAGAAAGGAGAUUGCUGAAUCCCAAGUCUUUCUCUGUUUAUCUCUGUCUCUCUCUCUGUCUCUCUCUUUGUGGCACUAAGAUUUAUUAGAAUGUGCCUUAACAUAGGCACUGGGGCUUUUGCCUAUGGUGUUCCUGACAUAUAAAGCCCAGAUGUUCUGCCAGUUCUUCCAGAGCAAUGAUACCUGGAAGCUGAGAGCCAGAUGGACAUUGUACACAAGCUCGUCGUCUGUCAUCCGGACAUGGCCAAGAGCCAUGCCAGACAGAGCCCUUUCUUCCUCUGGAACUUGAUUGUGGACUUCCCCUCAUCAACUUUGGCCACCAUGUCUUCACUGUACGUCAGCAGGGAAGGGAACCUGCCUUCCUUAUUUAGGCCUAGGCCCAGGAUUUGUGGGAUCUGCCUGAUCACAGACCCUGAGGCCAAAAAGGCAUCAUACUUGUUAAGCAGCUUCUUGUUCUUGUCAAGUUUCUUCAGCACCUCGAUGUCCACGUGGGAGACACCCACAGCCUUGGCCUCAUCCCAGUGCUGCUGGUCCCCCAGGACACAUGUGGAGAACGUGGGGCGGGGAGUGGACUUCAGAUGACAGUGCCCAAGAAGCGUUCAUCUUUCUGAGGGUCACAGUUCUUCAAGCGGAUCUGUAGCUCCAGUGUUCCCAAAAGUUUCUGGCACUUGCACUGGUUCCUGUCCAGGACUUCCCGCACUGCCUCCUACAAGGUCUCAAGAGGCUGCUGCUCUUGGUGUUUUGCGCAGGGG
This 1585-nucleotide long non-coding RNA is filed under the name Macaca fascicularis (crab-eating macaque). RNAcentral describes it as "lncRNA (ENSMFAG00000058442.1)". The record is from RNAcentral. Lineage: Eukaryota; Metazoa; Chordata; Mammalia; Primates; Cercopithecidae.